Molecule: long non-coding RNA, 1379 nt
Organism: Gopherus flavomarginatus (Mexican gopher tortoise)
Lineage: Eukaryota; Metazoa; Chordata; Testudines; Testudinidae
Exons: 4
Source: RefSeq, a predicted model, not a curated record
AAUCACCGCGCGCGCAUGCGCGGUAGUUCUGGUCUUCAAAAGCCGUGCCCCGACCAUUGAAACCAAUUGCGCGACCGUCAAAGGGCCGCGAGAGGUGGACGCCCGGUUGUGUACUCCUUAGAGUCAGGACUGUCCAUUUUAUUUGGAAAAUGCCUGGCACAUAGCAGGCACUACAGUCAUUAAUCUCUGUAGAUGUCAUUACAUUAAACGCAUCACUGGACAUUGGCAACACCAGGAGGGAUGAGCUGGAGUGCCGAUGAGAAGCGCAGUCAAGAAAGUAACUGAAAUACUUUCUUGAUAAGGCCAGCCCACAACAUUUUGGCACCUGAGGCAGGGAGCUCAAAUGACGCCCCCAAGCCCCUUCGCUUGGGCCAAAUCUUUGAAAGGUCUCAGUUCUGUCUUCUUCCUGUUCUAGUCCUCUCAUGGUACUGCUCUGCUACCUACCCCAGUAAAGGAGAACUAACAACUUAAAAUGCCUCAUUCAAAAAUUCCACUGGAUCAUGUUAUACCUUUCUCUGCUAGACUGAAGAGCUCAUCAUCAAAUAUUUGUUUCCCAUGUAGAUACUUAGAGACUGUAAUCAAGUCAUCCCUUUGUGACGCUGCACUCCAUAUGUUAUGAAAAUAUAUUUAGAAGUGUGAAUAUAAUGUAACUGGAAUAUGCUUUAUGCAAAAGGUCUCUUGUAAGGUAUCUUACAAAGCUUAUAAUCUACUGACUGUGUUCAUCCUAUUUGCUUGAAUGUAUCAUUCUUGUAUCUGAAGCUAGAAAUAUAAAGUAUUACUCUGAAGUCCUAGCGUAACUAUGCAAAGUGUGGGCCAUUAAUGGUGGCUUGAAAUCUUGAUAUCUCUCAUUAACUAGGACAAUUAGUUGUAAAUCACUCUGUUUACAUGUAAGCCUUCCUGUACAUGUGGGUGCUAGCCAGUGAGUAAUGAAGUCUCACAGGACAUGUGAACAUGUCACAUGAUACUGGAAUCCAUCACCUGGUACUUUUCUAUUUACAAGGAAGGGUGGAAACCCAGAGAGAGACAAAGGAUUCCUGCAUUGUGCCAAAGAUAUAAAAGGGGACGGAACAGAACAAAGUGGGUCCCACUCAUGUGAAAUCCCCUGCUUUUCACGUAAGAUGCCUGCUGGAACUAACAAGAACUGUACCAGGGAAAGGAUUGGGCCCAGACUAGGAAGAAGUCUAGUCUGUGAAUUAAACUUAUUGGAACAUCUCUAAGGGUGAGCUUUACCUGUAUUCUGUUUCUAAAUGUAUUAGGCUUAAACUUGCGUGUUUUGUUUUAUUUUACUUGGUGUCUUACUUUGUUCUGUCUGUUCUUACUUGAAACCACUUAAAUUCUAUUUUUUAUUCUUAAUAAAAUCACUUUUGUUUAUUAUUGAA